AAUCAUGUCUAAUUAUGUAAAUGUUUUAUUAUUUAAAUAUAAAAAUAUUUGCCUAAUUAAACACGGAGUGUAUUGCAUUUUUUUUUAACAAAUAUUUAGUUAUAUAGACUACAAUGUAAGCUUUUAUGAAAGUGAUGGCCCCUAGUGGACAUCAUGUGGGAUAAGGUAUAGCUAAGAGUGCUCCAGACCAACCUUCCGAACGAACGACUUACAGAAGUGAUACGUAACUAAGAACGUUUCGGAAAACACGUAUUAGCGAUAAGGUACAGCUUAAGGUACAACUUAAGAACGACGUAGUUUCGGAGAACGCAGCCCUGUACCUUAGCGGGAUUCUUAAGGUAUACUUUCUGACGUACGACGUUACCAGGUGCUGUCCAUGGCGAUGGUGCUGAAUAGGUUGAUAUCGAUUGCUCGACAAUCAAUUGUUCACUUUAUGUAAUAGGUACUUCGCUGCGUUAUGAGAGAGCGGUGUUAUUUAUUAAAGAAACAUUUCAGAAAUAGUUCAAGUUACAUUUAUUAGGAAUAUCUGGUAAAAAUAUUUCAAAUUGCAAACAACUAAAUAUAAACCUUGUAGGCUAUAUUUUAUUUUAUAUCAAACCCAUGCAACUCGCAACUUCAUGUCCAAAAGUAUAAUGCAUAAACUGCUCCAAUGCAUCCAUUAUUGCUUCACUUUAAAGGAUAAUUUAUAUUAGGGGUUCCCAAUAAAUGCGUUGCACAGGGAAAUAAGGUGGGUCGUGCAAGUCACCUGGCUUGGCAUUACACUUAAAAUAUAUAAAAACAAAUUGUUGUUCAUUAGUUCACGCGUUUAUGUGUUUGGACACUGCGCAAGCAGCGCGUUUACAAUGCGGAUAACGCUUAAUGGACGCAUUUCUGGAGCCGCGCCUGUCUGUUUACCUUAAAUAUAACAUAAAAUAUAUAUUGUAUGAUAUAUAAAUAUAUAUUAUGAUUGUUUUAGGUUUAAGCUUUGAUUAGUUUUAAUGUGGAAAAUUUGUUGACCUUAUACAAGCAAUAAUCAAGUGGAGCAUUUUCUUUUUAAUGUUUAUAAAGAAUAUGGCAUGCAGUUGCCUCAAAGUUAUAAAACAUUAAAAAUCAACAAUUAUGAUUUCGUGAUGAAUGUGCUACCGUGGCAUGCAAUUUUUUAACUUGCUGUGUUUUAUUUGCAGCUAAAAUAGCCGGUAAACUAAAGAUUUAACGGAUAUGAAAUGCACAAAUAAAAUAGUAAGAUUCGCUGUAUAGCUGCCUGCCGUAGUUUCACCAACUCCUCCACCCAAACUCUUUUUUUAAUAGUUUCUUUAGCCUGUAAUAAUAGUUCACAGCUGAUGUUCCUUGGAAAAAAAUGUUAAAAAUCUAACAACCAUCAGUGUAAUAAUGUCUAAUUAUGUGAAUGUUUUCAUCUUUAAAUAAAUAAAAAAUGCGUGAUUUAACACGGAGUACUUCAACUUUUUUUUAACAGAUAUUCAGUUAUAUAGACUGCAAUAUACACAAGCUUUUAUCACAGUGAUGGCCCCUAGCGGAGUCAAGUGGGAUAAGGUAAAGCUAAGAUUGCUCCAGACCAACCUUCCGAACGAACGACUUACAGAAGUGAUACGUAACUAAGAACGUUUCGGGAAACACGUAUUAACGAUAAGGAGGAUCUUGAUGAAACAGUCGAUGCCUGGAAUUGCCACAGGAUAAGGCCAACUCACAACCCACGUGCCCCCAGUGGUCGACCUUCAAUAAUGUUUGCUGUUCCCAAUUUAUAUGGAGUGCAGAAUUUCGUCCAUCCAGUUGAUCAAACAAAACUGGCCGUUUGCAGAGAGGAUUGUUUAUUUAAAGACUAUCCUUGUGAUGAGGACGUAUUUCACAUCUGUGUGGAACUAAUGGCUGACCAUAAUCUUGUCAUGCCAAAUGAUGUUUAUGAAAUUACAGACCUCUACCUUAGACUUCGUCAGUUGAUCCUUCAGGAACUGGACUUGGAUGACUAGGUUAAAUUAUUCUACAAUAUCCACUAGAAGCCAUUUAAAUACACUGUGUACACUUUUAAGAGUUCAGAUUGACAAAAUAUUUAAAUUUGGGCCAUUUUUUCUUCAUAAAUUGACACCUGUACUUGUUGAACUACAGCAAUACCCUCCUUUACUCAAUGUACAGUGUUUGGACAAGUCAUUUGAUAUGAUAAUUUGCUGCCUAAACAUAUAUUUAAGAAAUGAGGUUUUUGUAUUUUAUAAUUUAUAAUGAGAGGACUAAACAUGUUGUUGUGCGUAUAUUUGGGCACAUCAUCACAAUCAAUCUUAGAACUUUUUCUGUCAUCUUGGUAUUUUGAAUAAAAUGUAUAUUAACCA
Molecule: non-coding RNA, 2318 nt
Organism: Misgurnus anguillicaudatus (oriental weatherfish)
Lineage: Eukaryota; Metazoa; Chordata; Actinopteri; Cypriniformes; Cobitidae
Source: RefSeq, a predicted model, not a curated record